UCUCAGUGAUCUAAUGGCUCUGGUUCCCCUCUUCUCUCACCUAGAAAAUCCUGUUAUAUCUCUUCUUCUUCUUCUGCCUCUUGUUUCUCUUCUCUCCCGAACUCUUCGCAGCCGAAAUUUACUCCAAAGGAAAAACCAUUUUCUUUCGUUAUCUCUCCAAUUUAUCUGCUAUAUCACGAACAGAUCUUUAUCAAUCAAAAUCACAUUCGUCUUUAUCUCUCAAAUCCAUCUGCUAUAUCACAGAAACCAACAGAUCUUCAUCACCAAAAACAAUUAACAGAUCUACAAUCCAUCUACUCCAUGUAUUUGAUGAUUCUUGUUCUUCCUUGGUAUUAUCUAGAUUCGUAAAUUUCUAAGAGAGAAAAAGAUUUGUGCUGAUAAUGGAAGGUGCUUCUUACACAGGGUUUCGUUUCCUACUUCAAUCAAUUACUGGAUGAGUCAUCUUCAUCUAAAUUCACUCGGAGCAUGGAGCUAGUAUAAUUUCUACCAUCCCAACUGUACCAUAUAUUUUUGAUUUUACAGAUGGAAGCAAGAUGAAAGUUCAGAAUUCGGCGGCAUUAACUGCGGAUGCUGGAAAACGCGUAACAAAAUGUUGGGAACCAACUGUUUCCGCUACCAUUAUUAUUCCUAGUGAGUAUGUAGGUGUUGUUAUUACCCUUUGCUAUGAUAGGAGAGGGGAACAAUCUGAGUACACAUUUAUCGAUAGACUAUUUAUAUAUUGCAGGUUAUUUUGGAUUUGUAACUUCAAGAACAGUGCUUCUUAACUUAUGUAAGGGUGAUAAUGCAAUUGAUCGUGUGAUCCCGAGGGGAAGCUAUGAACCUAAGGAAGAAGUUGGUGACUUAAUGAGAUAAUUCUAGCGUAUACGAGAAUUGUAAGAGAAAUCCAAGAUGGGUAGCAUUAGCACUAUCUAAGAGAGCGGAAUUGUUCGAGUUCCUCGUCCAACAUGAUCUUGUUUCGAUGGUUUGCAGUUGUCUUUAUGAACCUGAGAACUUAGAUAUACGUUAUGAAUUCAGAUUUGGUUACUUAUUUAUGUGAUUUUGAAUAAAUUUGAACUGAAUUUAUGAAUUGAAUGAAUAUUUAAUGGAA
This is a long non-coding RNA of Papaver somniferum (opium poppy), 1087 nucleotides long. RefSeq lists it as uncharacterized. The record is from RefSeq and is a predicted model, not a curated record. Lineage: Eukaryota; Viridiplantae; Streptophyta; Magnoliopsida; Ranunculales; Papaveraceae. The transcript has 9 exons.